CCUACGGGAGGCAGCAGUGGGGAAUAUUGGGCAAUGGAGGAAACUCCGACCCAGCGACGCCGCGUGCGGGAUGAAGGCCUUCGGGUUGUAAACCGCUUUCAGCAGGGAAGAAGCGAAAGUGACGGUACCUGCAGAAGAAGCACCGGCUAACUAUGUGCCAGCAGCCGCGGUAAUACAUAGGGUGCAAGCGUUGUCCGGAAUUAUUGGGCGUAAAGAGCUCGUAGGUGGUUCGUCACGUCGGAUGUGAAACUCUGGGGCUUAACCCCAGACCUGCAUUCGAUACGGGCGAGCUUGAGUAUGGUAGGGGAGUCUGGAAUUCCUGGUGUAGCGGUGGAAUGCGCAGAUAUCAGGAGGAACACCAAUGGCGAAGGCAGGACUCUGGGCCAUUACUGACACUGAGGAGCGAAAGCGUGGGGAGCGAACAGGAUUAGAUACCCUGGUAGUCCACGCCGUAAACGGUGGGCACUAGUUGUGGGGACCUUCCACGGUCUCUGCGACGCAGCUAACGCAUUAAGUGCCCCGCCUGGGGAGUACGAUCGCAAGAUUAAAACUCAAAGGAAUUGACGG
This 567-nucleotide ribosomal RNA is filed under the name uncultured bacterium. RNAcentral's name for it is "bacterial SSU rRNA". It matches the Rfam family "Bacterial small subunit ribosomal RNA", at positions 338 to 916 of the family's 1533-position model. The record is from RNAcentral.